This 486-nucleotide ribosomal RNA is filed under the name uncultured Glomus. RNAcentral's name for it is "SSU rRNA". It matches the Rfam family "Eukaryotic small subunit ribosomal RNA", at positions 569 to 1060 of the family's 1831-position model. The record is from RNAcentral. Lineage: Eukaryota; Fungi; Glomeromycota; Glomeromycetes; Glomerales; Glomeraceae.
AGCAGCCGCGGUAAUUCCAGCUCCAAUAGCGUAUAUUAAAGUUGUUGCAGUUAAAAAGCUCGUAGUUGAAUUUCGGGAUCGAAUUGUUGGUCGUGCUUCGGUACGCACUGGCAUUAUUGGUUCCUACCUUCUGAAGAACCGCGAUGUCAUUAAUUUGGUGUCGUGGGGAAUCAGGACUGUUACUUUGAAAAAAUUAGAGUGUUUAAAGCAGGCUCACGCUUGAAUACAUUAGCAUGGAAUAAUGAAAUAGGACGUUUGAUUCUAUUUUGUUGGUUUCUAGGAUCGACGUAAUGAUUAAUAGGGAUAGUUGGGGGCAUUAGUAUUCAAUUGUCAGAGGUGAAAUUCUUGGAUUUAUUGAAGACUAACUACUGCGAAAGCAUUUGCCAAGGAUGUUUUCAUUAAUCAAGAACGAAAGUUAGGGGAUCGAAGACGAUCAGAUACCGUCGUAGUCUUAACCAUAAACUAUGCCGACUAGGGAUCGGAUGA